AUGUCUCAAAUUUACCGAGUUCUUUUCCUGCUUUCCUCUCUGAUCUACAAGGUAGAAACUGGAGAGGAUGAAGUCACGCAACUUGCUCAGUGGAAAGUUGUUAAGGAGGCAGAAAACGCUUCCAUUGAAUGCUCCACAACAAACACAUUUGACACAGUGCACUGGUACAGACAGCUCCCGAACCAGCCGCCCCAGCAUCUGGUGAUGGCCAAAAGAGAAGCUGAUCAACAUGAGAGGAUUUCUGCUUCAGUCAGUACAGACUACAAACACAGUGUCCUGAGUGUGAGAGACACCAGACUUAACGACACCGCCAUCUACCUCUGUGCCAAUGGGGGCACAGUGUUACAAGCUGAGGGAGAGUCUGAACAAAAACCUAUACUGCACAGCUGA
This is a non-coding RNA of Chiloscyllium plagiosum (whitespotted bambooshark), 390 nucleotides long. NCBI's taxonomy places the organism in Eukaryota, Metazoa, Chordata, Chondrichthyes, Orectolobiformes, Hemiscylliidae. The record is from the annotation of a RefSeq genome assembly.